GUGGGGAAUAUUGGGCAAUGGGGGAAACCCUGACCCAGCAACGCCGCGUGAAGGAAGAAGGCUUUCGGGUUGUAAACUUCUUUUAUGAGGGACGAAGAAGUGACGGUACCUCAUGAAUAAGCCACGGCUAACUACGUGCCAGCAGCCGCGGUAAUACGUAGGUGGCAAGCGUUGUCCGGAUUUACUGGGUGUAAAGGGCGCGUAGGCGGGAUAGCAAGUCAGGUGUGAAAUCCGGGGGCUUAACCCUCGAACUGCACUUGAAACUGUUAUUCUUGAGUGAUGGAGAGGCAAGCGGAAUUCCUAGUGUAGCGGUGAAAUGCGUAGAUAUCCGGAGGAACACCGGUGGCGAAGGCGGCCACCUGGACAGGUACUGACGCUGAGGCGCGAAAGCGUGGGGAGCAAACAGGAUUAGAAACCCGGGUAGUCC
RNAcentral lists this ribosomal RNA (427 nucleotides) under uncultured bacterium. RNAcentral's name for it is "partial 16S ribosomal RNA". It matches the Rfam family "Bacterial small subunit ribosomal RNA", at positions 354 to 796 of the family's 1533-position model. The record is from RNAcentral.